CAGUAGCCGCGGUAAUACGUAGGGCGCAAGCGUUAUCCGGAAUUAUUGGGCGUAAAGAGCUCGUAGGCGGUUUGUCGCGUCUGCCGUGAAAGUCCGGGGCUCAACCCCGGAUCUGCGGUGGGUACGGGCAGACUAGAGUGAUGUAGGGGAGACUGGAAUUCCUGGUGUAGCGGUGAAAUGCGCAGAUAUCAGGAGGAACACCGAUGGCGAAGGCAGGUCUCUGGGCAUUAACUGACGCUGAGGAGCGAAAGCAUGGGGAGCGAACAGGAUUAGAGACCCGAGUAGUCCCUGUCUCUUAUAA
Molecule: ribosomal RNA, 301 nt
Filed under: uncultured bacterium
Lineage: Bacteria
Description: partial 16S ribosomal RNA
Rfam family: Bacterial small subunit ribosomal RNA
Source: RNAcentral